RNAcentral lists this ribosomal RNA (1170 nucleotides) under Microbacterium hydrocarbonoxydans. RNAcentral describes it as "bacterial SSU rRNA". It matches the Rfam family "Bacterial small subunit ribosomal RNA", at positions 283 to 1462 of the family's 1533-position model. Lineage: Bacteria; Bacillati; Actinomycetota; Actinomycetes; Micrococcales; Microbacteriaceae. The record is from RNAcentral.
GUAGCCGGCCUGAGAGGGUGACCGGCCACACUGGGACUGAGACACGGCCCAGAUUCCUACGGGAGGCAGCAGUGGGGAAUAUUGCACAAUGGGCGCAAGCCUGAUGCAGCAACGCCGCGUGAGGGAUGACGGCCUUCGGGUUGUAAACCUCUUUUAGCAGGGAAGAAGCGAAAGUGACGGUACCUGCAGAAAAAGCGCCGGCUAACUACGUGCCAGCAGCCGCGGUAAUACGUAGGGCGCAAGCGUUAUCCGGAAUUAUUGGGCGUAAAGAGCUCGUAGGCGGUUUGUCGCGUCUGCUGUGAAAUCCGGAGGCUCAACCUCCGGCCUGCAGUGGGUACGGGCAGACUAGAGUGCGGUAGGGGAGAUUGGAAUUCCUGGUGUAGCGGUGGAAUGCGCAGAUAUCAGGAGGAACACCGAUGGCGAAGGCAGAUCUCUGGGCCGUAACUGACGCUGAGGAGCGAAAGGGUGGGGAGCAAACAGGCUUAGAUACCCUGGUAGUCCACCCCGUAAACGUUGGGAACUAGUUGUGGGGUCCAUUCCACGGAUUCCGUGACGCAGCUAACGCAUUAAGUUCCCCGCCUGGGGAGUACGGCCGCAAGGCUAAAACUCAAAGGAAUUGACGGGGACCCGCACAAGCGGCGGAGCAUGCGGAUUAAUUCGAUGCAACGCGAAGAACCUUACCAAGGCUUGACAUAUACGAGAACGGGCCAGAAAUGGUCAACUCUUUGGACACUCGUAAACAGGUGGUGCAUGGUUGUCGUCAGCUCGUGUCGUGAGAUGUUGGGUUAAGUCCCGCAACGAGCGCAACCCUCGUUCUAUGUUGCCAGCACGUAAUGGUGGGAACUCAUGGGAUACUGCCGGGGUCAACUCGGAGGAAGGUGGGGAUGACGUCAAAUCAUCAUGCCCCUUAUGUCUUGGGCUUCACGCAUGCUACAAUGGCCGGUACAAAGGGCUGCAAUACCGCGAGGUGGAGCGAAUCCCAAAAAGCCGGUCCCAGUUCGGAUUGAGGUCUGCAACUCGACCUCAUGAAGUCGGAGUCGCUAGUAAUCGCAGAUCAGCAACGCUGCGGUGAAUACGUUCCCGGGUCUUGUACACACCGCCCGUCAAGUCAUGAAAGUCGGUAACACCUGAAGCCGGUGGCCUAACCCUUGUGGAGGGAGCCGUCGAAGG